Molecule: ribosomal RNA, 468 nt
Filed under: uncultured bacterium
Lineage: Bacteria
Description: partial 16S ribosomal RNA
Rfam family: Bacterial small subunit ribosomal RNA
Source: RNAcentral
GACGAACGCUGGCGGCGUGCUUAACACAUGCAAGUCGAACGGAAAGGCCCUGCUUUUGUGGGGUGCUCGAGUGGCGAACGGGUGAGUAACACGUGAGUAACCUGCCCUUUACUUUGGGAUAACUUCAGGAAGCUGGGGCUAAUACCGGAUAUGAGCUCCUGCUGCAUGGUGUGGGUUGGAAAGGUUCGGCGGUUGGGGAUGGACUCGCGGCUUAUCAGCUUGUUGGUGGGGUAGUGGCUUACCAAGGCUUUGACGGGUAGCCGGCCUGAGAGGGUGACCGGCCACAUUGGGACUGAGAUACGGCCCAGAGUCCUACGGGAGGCAGCAGUGGGGAAUAUUGCACAAUGGGCGGAAGCCUGAUGCAGCAACGCCGCGUGCGGGAUGACGGCCUUCGGGUUGUAACCCGCUUUCGCCUGUGACGAAGAGUGAGUGACGGUAAUGGGUCAAGAAGCAACGGCUAACUACGUG